Peromyscus eremicus (cactus mouse) is the source of this 1389-nucleotide long non-coding RNA. RefSeq lists it as uncharacterized. Lineage: Eukaryota; Metazoa; Chordata; Mammalia; Rodentia; Cricetidae. The transcript has 5 exons. The record is from RefSeq and is a predicted model, not a curated record.
CCUAACUCUCUUGGCUCCAACAUUGGCCUCUUACUCAAGGUUACUAACACUUGUGUCCAACUGAAGCUGCAAAUCAAAUAACAGUAACCUUAAAUUGUGUGGAGCUUUUUAGUUUAUGAAAUGGCUUCCUCUGUCCAUCUCCACGGCGGGGCUCGGAGGCUCAGGAGCUAUCACGGAAGAGGGGGCGGAAGCAGUGGAAGGCCAGAGGAUCGGGAGAGGUGCUGGGACAUGCUGUCUCCUGGACAUGACACAGCUGUUGUACUCAUGAAGUCAAUGUGACUGAGGAAAUGGGAUGUCCCUCCGUUUCAGGGUGAGUCUUCCCCCUCUCAAUUAAACCUUUCUAGAAAUACCCUCACAGACACACCCAGAGGUGUGUUUCCACAGUGAGUCUAAAUCCUGUCAAGUUGAUAAUCAAGACUAUAACACCAAAGUAGUGUUUAUUUUGGGGCAAACUAUGGUUAAUUGGAGGGUGGGGAUGAAGGGGUUUCUGAGGCGCUAGCCAUACUCUUCUUUUGGUUAUACAUGUGUGUGAAAAUCGAUUGAGUUGUGAACUGACAUUUACAAUCCUCUGUAGGUGUGUGAAUCGCCAAUGAAAACGCUGACAAGGAAAACAUAUAUGAAGCUUUGAACUGAGUGCGAAGAAGUGAACUUCACAGACACAAGUUGGGAAGUCCGUGUCGCAUGGUUGCUGAGCAUAAGGCAUCUUUGGAAAGCAUUUCUAAAAAAAAGCAGUAGUCGAGGAGAAGGAAAGAAAAAGAGAAAAGCAUUUGCAGUGUAUUAGUCUGUUUCCACUGCAAUAACAAAACAUCUGAAUGGGAUACUUUUUUCAAAAAAAAUGCUCUCAGAUUUUGAGGGUAAAAUGCCAAGAUUAGAUGUCCCUAUCUAUUUGACUUGUGGUGAAGACCCCUGGGCUGCAUCCCAUUGUGGCAGAAGCACAUGGAAAACAGAUCCUGUAGCCUAACAGUUUCUGUCCCUGUAGGGCUCUCCUGGGAGCCAUUCACUGAAUCUUCUGUGUUAAGAGACUUGUGGAAGAGAGCAAAGAGGACCUCAUGGGACACACAGUGCAGGACACACAGAAGCGGGCUUCUGUAUCAGGUUCAUCGCGGACAUUGAAUCGGACUGAGAUGCAAGCUGUUUCGUGGCAGAAACGUGCAAAGAAACUUCUGGGAAUGCUGAGAGGCCCUGCUAAGCGACUAGUGCUUUUGUGUUGGAGGAGGCAAAGGAAAGCAGAGGUGUCGGAGAUGGAAACAGAGCUCAACUCUAGAAUUUGCCUGGAGUGUACGGUUGCUGUCGUGUGAACAUGGUCAAAGCACAUGACACACUUGAAUGUGAUGUCUUUAGGAACCCUUCCCUGGAGCUUUUAGGGGAAUAAAAGGACCUGUGGUGCUA